GGCUAUGGCCAUGCCACCUUGAACAUGCCUGAUCUUGUCUGAUCUCAGAAGCUAAGCAGGGUCAGGCCUGGUUAGUACUUGGAUAGGAGACCACCUAGGAAUAUCAGCUGCUGUAGGCA
Molecule: ribosomal RNA, 119 nt
Filed under: Pteropus alecto (black flying fox)
Lineage: Eukaryota; Metazoa; Chordata; Mammalia; Chiroptera; Pteropodidae
Source: RNAcentral